CCUACGGGAGGCUACAGUUAAGAAUAUUCCACAAUGCACGAAAGUGUGAUGGAGCGACGCCGCGUGAAUGAUGAAGCCCUUCGGGGUGUAAAGUUCUUUUAUUAAGGAAAAAUUUUUGAUGUUACUUAAUGAAUAAGGGGCUGCUAACUUCGUGCCAGCAGCAGCGGUAAUACGAAGGCCCCGAGCGUUAUCCGGAUUUACUGGGUGUAAAACGUCUGUAGAUGGUUUGAAAAGUUAAAUGUAAAAUCUUUUAGCUUAACUAAAAACUUGCAUUUAAUACUAUCAUAACUAGAGGGCGGGGGAAGUAAGCGGAAUUCCCGGUGUAGUUGUAAUAAGCGUUAAUAUCGGGAAGAACACCAAAAGCGAAGGCAGCUUACUAAAACGCUCCUGACAUUGAGAGACGAAAGCGUGGGUAGCGAUAC
Molecule: ribosomal RNA, 422 nt
Filed under: uncultured prokaryote
Description: bacterial SSU rRNA
Rfam family: Bacterial small subunit ribosomal RNA
Source: RNAcentral